GGAGUCGGCAAGGCAAUCGCUGUAACGCUGGACGUUGCAGAGGAAAGUCCGGGCUCCUUCGGACAGGGCGCCAGGUAACGCCUGGAGGGCGCGAGCCCAUGGAAAGUGCCACAGAAAAUAUACCGCCGGACUGGUCUUCGGACGAGGCCCGGUAAGGGUGAAAAGGUGCGGUAAGAGCGCACCGCGCGGCUGGUAACAGCUCGCGGCACGGCAAACCCCGCCUGGAGCAAGACCAAAUAGGGGAGUGGCAGCACGUCUGCACCGUCGGUUCCGAACGGGCUCCCGGGUAGGUCGCUAGAGGCAGCCGGUGACGGUUGUCCCAGAUGAAUGAUUGCUCUCGACAGAACCCGGCUUACUGCCGGCUCCGACU
RNAcentral lists this RNase P RNA (370 nucleotides) under Gammaproteobacteria bacterium. RNAcentral's name for it is "RNase P RNA component class A". It matches the Rfam family "Bacterial RNase P class A". From Rfam's summary of the family: Ribonuclease P (RNase P) is a ubiquitous endoribonuclease, found in archaea, bacteria and eukarya as well as chloroplasts and mitochondria. Its best characterised activity is the generation of mature 5'-ends of tRNAs by cleaving the 5'-leader elements of precursor-tRNAs. Lineage: Bacteria; Pseudomonadati; Pseudomonadota; Gammaproteobacteria. The record is from RNAcentral.